RNAcentral lists this ribosomal RNA (465 nucleotides) under uncultured bacterium. RNAcentral describes it as "partial 16S ribosomal RNA". It matches the Rfam family "Bacterial small subunit ribosomal RNA", at positions 338 to 795 of the family's 1533-position model. The record is from RNAcentral.
CCUACGGGGGGCAGCAGUAGGGAAUCUUCCACAAUGGGCGAAAGCCUGAUGGAGCAACGCCGCGUGGGUGAAGAAGGUCUUCGGAUCGUAAAACCCUGUUGUUAGAGAAGAAAGUGCGUGAGAGUAACUGUUCACGUUUCGACGGUAUCUAACCAGAAAGCCACGGCUAACUACGUGCCAGCAGCCGCGGUAAUACGUAGGUGGCAAGCGUUAUCCGGAUUUAUUGGGCGUAAAGGGAACGCAGGCGGUCUUUUAAGUCUGAUGGGAAAGCCUUCGGCUUAACCGGAGUAGUGCAUUGGAAACUGGGAGACUUGAGUGCAGAAGAGGAGAGUGGAACUCCAUGUGUAGCGGUGAAAUGCGUAGAUAUAUGGAAGAACACCAGUGGCGAAAGCGGCUCUCUGGUCUGUAACUGACGCUGAGGUUCGAAAGCGUGGGUAGCAAACAGGAUUAGAUACCCGGGUAAUC